UAGGGAAUCUUCGGCAAUGGACGAAAGUCUGACCGAGCAACGCCGCGUGAGUGAAGAAGGUUUUCGGAUCGUAAAACUCUGUUGUUAGAGAAGAACAAGGACGUUAGUAACUGAACGUCCCCUGACGGUAUCUAACCAGAAAGCCACGGCUAACUACGUGCCAGCAGCCGCGGUAAUACGUAGGUGGCAAGCGUUGUCCGGAUUUAUUGGGCGUAAAGCGAGCGCAGGCGGUUUCUUAAGUCUGAUGUGAAAGCCCCCGGCUCAACCGGGGAGGGUAAUUGGAAACUGGGAGACUGGGGUGCAGAAGAGGAGAGUGGAAUUCCAUGUGUAGCGGUGAAAUGCGUAGAUAUAUGGAGGAACACCAGUGGCGAAGGCGGCUCUCUGGUCUGUAACUGACGCUGAGGCUCGAAAGCGUGGGGAGCAAACAGG
This 429-nucleotide ribosomal RNA is filed under the name Gemmatimonadota bacterium. RNAcentral's name for it is "Gemmatimonadetes bacterium partial 16S ribosomal RNA". It matches the Rfam family "Bacterial small subunit ribosomal RNA", at positions 355 to 776 of the family's 1533-position model. Lineage: Bacteria; Pseudomonadati; Gemmatimonadota. The record is from RNAcentral.